UCCGACGUAGCUCAAUGGUGGAGCAAUCGGCUGUUAACCGAUAGGUUGCUGGUUCGAGUCCAGCCGUCGGAG
Molecule: transfer RNA, 72 nt
Filed under: Candidatus Endomicrobiellum incisitermitis
Lineage: Bacteria; Pseudomonadati; Elusimicrobiota; Endomicrobiia; Endomicrobiales; Endomicrobiaceae
Description: tRNA-Asn
Rfam family: tRNA
About the family: Transfer RNA (tRNA) molecules are approximately 80 nucleotides in length. Their secondary structure includes four short double-helical elements and three loops (D, anti-codon, and T loops).
Source: RNAcentral